Molecule: ribosomal RNA, 336 nt
Filed under: Ixodes ricinus (castor bean tick)
Lineage: Eukaryota; Metazoa; Arthropoda; Arachnida; Ixodida; Ixodidae
Description: partial large subunit ribosomal RNA
Source: RNAcentral
AUGAUAAACUUUUAAAAGCUUUCUUUAAUUGAAUAAUUGAAUUUAAUUUUUUAGUGCAAAAGCAAAAUUAAAAAUUAGGGACAAGAUGACCCUAUGAAUUUUUUAUUAAAUUUUAUAAAACUUUAUAUAAAAUUUAAUUUAAUGGGGGUGAGGGAAAAAGAAUAAAUAUCUUUUUUUUUUAAAAAAAAUUGGUUCCGUUUUUACCGAUUAAAUGAAAAAAAUACUUUAGGGAUAACAGCGUAAUAAUUUUGGAUAGUUCAUAUAAAUAAAAUAGUUUGGGACCUCGAUGUUGGUUUAGGAUUUUUUUUUGGUGAAAAAGUUAAAAAAAAAAGUUUG